This 521-nucleotide ribosomal RNA is filed under the name uncultured eukaryote. RNAcentral describes it as "partial 28S ribosomal RNA". It matches the Rfam family "Eukaryotic large subunit ribosomal RNA", at positions 1059 to 1546 of the family's 3401-position model. The record is from RNAcentral.
CGAACUUUAAAUAAGUAGGAAAAAAGAAAUGUUUAGAAUUUAAUUUCUUUUGAUUAAUAUUUUUUUUGUUAGUGGGCAGGUUGUGGUAAGCAUGACAUGCGAUGCGGGAUGCUCCGAAAAGUUUUGUUAAAAGUGUUAAAUUUUUUAUAAAUAAUUUGGGUCAACUAGAUACCAAAAAGAAUGUAAAUAAAUGAAGACAGCCCGAAAGUGGCCAUGGAAGUCGGUAUCUUCUAAGGAGUGUGUAACAACUCACGGGGCCGAAUUUAUUUGUUUCGAAAAUGGAUAACGCUAAACCCAAAAACUUAUACAAAACAAAGAAAAUAAUUAUUUCUUUUAAUAUUUUCUUUUGUAGGAAGUAUGUGUUGGAAAAUUUGAAGUUUUUUUUAAAUUUGAAUUUUAAAAUUGAUUUUCCAAUAGUACAGAUCUUGAUGGUAGUAGCAAGUACAAAAAUUAAAAUUUUUUUGAACUGAAGUGGAGAAGGGUCCCUUAACAACUGAAUUAGAUUAAGGUAAGUCGAUCCU